Molecule: long non-coding RNA, 291 nt
Organism: Hippopotamus amphibius kiboko
Lineage: Eukaryota; Metazoa; Chordata; Mammalia; Artiodactyla; Hippopotamidae
Exons: 4
Source: RefSeq, a predicted model, not a curated record
CUCAUGCCAAUGAGUACUCCCCCAAACUAGCACUGCCAGUGUCUUUGAACCUACAGUGAGCCAUCACUGUUCCCUGCAAGAGACCCUCCAAUUCUAGCAGAUUAACUGCUCCUUUUCCUUCACAUUCUGAAGGCCUUCUAAGAAAUUUCCUUCCCAAUUCAUCUGAGAAACCUUCAGAGUGAAAUAUACCAAAAGCUGGAAUGGGACAGUAUUGGAAAUGGAUGCCAUAUUUCAUCAUCUCCUCUGAAGACUAGAUCAUUUAUGAAGUUCUGGUUAACACACCCUUCAUUG